AUGCGAGUCUCAUUCUACGAGAGUGUUGAGUUGUUCAUGAAAGGGGGUGAUGGUUUGAAAUUCACAGUGGGGUGUUCUUCAGCGGCGGAUUGGCAGGAUGUAUUGCGUGAAGAAAGAUGGAAGGAAGUUGGGGAAGAACCAAGGAUGAGCGGAAGAUGUGAGUCUGAAUCUAAAACAAAUUUCAAUCAAAACUCCUCUCCUCUCACAUUCUGUUUCUAUUUGUUUCGUUCAAAACUAAUCUGA
Non-coding RNA from Vicia faba (fava bean), 243 nucleotides. The record is from the annotation of a GenBank genome assembly. NCBI's taxonomy places the organism in Eukaryota, Viridiplantae, Streptophyta, Magnoliopsida, Fabales, Fabaceae.